RNAcentral lists this unclassified non-coding RNA (391 nucleotides) under soil metagenome. RNAcentral describes it as "partial contains 5.8S ribosomal RNA, internal transcribed spacer 2, and large subunit ribosomal RNA". The stretch from base 1 to 122 matches the Rfam family "5.8S ribosomal RNA", at positions 35 to 154 of the family's 154-position model. The record is from RNAcentral.
GAUGAAGAACGUAGCGAAAUGCGAUACUUGGUGUGAAUUGCAGAAUCCCGUGAACCAUCGAGUCUUUGAACGCAAGUUGCGCCCGAAGCCAUUAGGCCGAGGGCACGCCUGCCUGGGCGUCACACGUCGUUGCCCCCCCAUCUACUCCUUCGGUAUUGCGGGGGGCGGAUGAUGGCCUCCCGUGCGCCUCGUCGCGCGGUUGGCAUAAAUGCCAAGUCCUCGGCGACGCACGCCACGACAAUCGGUGGUUGCGAAACCUCGGUUGCCCGUCGUGUGCGGUCGUCGCGCAUCGAGGGCUCGAAAAAAUUGCCGGGCUCCGGCUCGGCUUUCAACGCGACCCCAGGUCAGGCGGGGUUACCCGCUGAAUUUAAGCAUAUCAAUAAGCGGAGGA